RNAcentral lists this ribosomal RNA (394 nucleotides) under uncultured bacterium. RNAcentral describes it as "partial 16S ribosomal RNA". It matches the Rfam family "Bacterial small subunit ribosomal RNA", at positions 523 to 918 of the family's 1533-position model. The record is from RNAcentral.
ACACGUAGGGGGCGAGCGUUGUUCGGAAUCAUUGGGCGUAAAGGGCGUGCAGGCGGUCCUGCAAGUCCGGCGUGAAAGACCCCGGCCCAACCGGGGGGACGCGCUGGAAACUGCGGGGCUUGAGGACAGGAGAGGAUGCCGGAAUUCCAGGUGUAGGGGUGAAAUCUGUAGAUAUCUGGAAGAACACCAAUGGCGAAGGCAGGCAUCUGGCCAUGUACUGACGCUGAGACGCGAAGGUGCGGGGAGCAAACAGGUUUAGAUACCCUGGUAGUCCGCACAGUAAACGAUGUGCACCAGGUGGCGGGGGGUCGACCCUCGGUACCGUAGCUAACGCAUUAAGUGCACCGCCUGGGGAGUAUGCUCGCAAGGGUGAAACUCAAAUGAAUUGGCGGGG